AUACGUAGGUGACAAGCGUUAUCCGGAUUUACUGGGCGUAAAGGGCGUGUAGGCGGUCUUGCAAGUCAGAAGUGAAAUUCCUGAGCUCAACUCGGGCGCUGCUUCUGAAACUGCAGGACUUGAGUGCUGGAGGGGAUAGCGGAAUUCCUAGUGGAGCGGUAAAAUGCGCAGAUAUUAGGGAGAACACCGGAGGCGUAGGCGGAGUUCAGGACAUUAGCUGAAGCUGAGAGGCGAAAGCGUGGGGAGCAGACAUGAGUAGAGACCCGGGUCGUCCACGCCGUGAACGAUGAAGACUAUUUGUAGUGGGUAUCGACUCCCUCUGUGCCGCAGUUAACACAAUAAGUAUUACGCCUGGGGAGUACGGCCUCAAGGUUGAUGCUCAAAGGAAUUGACGGGG
This 397-nucleotide ribosomal RNA is filed under the name uncultured bacterium. RNAcentral describes it as "partial 16S ribosomal RNA". It matches the Rfam family "Bacterial small subunit ribosomal RNA", at positions 523 to 918 of the family's 1533-position model. The record is from RNAcentral.